UCUCUUGUGCUCGGGCAUGAACUGUCGCCAGUGAGGUCUUUACCGAGGCACAGUCUUUUGCUAGUUGCAAAUUACACAUCCGAACCCGUCUGUCAGCUUCAAGCUUUCAGCAAUUUUUGGAAAAACCAGUUU
RNAcentral lists this small nuclear RNA (132 nucleotides) under Rhizopogon vesiculosus. RNAcentral's name for it is "U4 spliceosomal RNA". It matches the Rfam family "U4 spliceosomal RNA". Rfam says of the family: U4 small nuclear RNA (U4 snRNA) is a component of the major U2-dependent spliceosome. The record is from Rfam by way of RNAcentral. Lineage: Eukaryota; Fungi; Basidiomycota; Agaricomycetes; Boletales; Rhizopogonaceae.